This 1991-nucleotide long non-coding RNA is filed under the name Ananas comosus (pineapple). RNAcentral describes it as "long non-coding RNA (ACOM_LNC027057)". The record is from RNAcentral. Lineage: Eukaryota; Viridiplantae; Streptophyta; Magnoliopsida; Poales; Bromeliaceae.
AAAAUUUUGGGUUAAUUGCAUAUAACUCCCUGUAAACAUAUCGAAUAACAGAUAUAUUCCUAAAAUGUUCAACUUUUUAUUUUUAUCCUUGCAAAUAUUCUAAUAUUUUCAAAAAUAUCCCCCUUGUUAGGAUCCGUUAGAAAAAUAUUGUUAACUAUAAGUAAAAUACUUAACCCUAGUUAGUGAAUGAAUUAAAUUGAUCUUUUUACCUCUCUUAUAUUAUUAGAUAAAAUACUUUUUUGAAAGCAUAUUUUUAUAUAACUCUAACAGUUGGGACUUUCGAAGGGAUAUAUUUGUAAGAAUAAAAAUGUCAUUUCAUUUAUCUACUGUUAAAAAAUAAACAGCUCUCUAACAAUGGUAACAAAUAAGAGCAGCAAAUAUGAAUAUCAUUGGACUUUUGCCGGAAUAAAAAUUAAAAAUUAAACUUUAUAGAAAUAUAUUUACUAUUUGUUAUAUUUACAGAAAAUUAUACACAAUUAACUUAAAAUUUUUUAUUAUAUUUAAUUUUAUUUAAAAUUAAAUGACUCGAAUAUAUUCCGUCGCUCGAUAAGAAUAGUACGCGACGUGCCGGCGAUGUCGGGGCACGCAUGGCUUCCCUUACUACUUUGGGGCAGGGGUGUGUUGGGUUGGUGGCGGGGGGUGGCGGCCCACCCAAUCUGGAGCAAGAUUUGGGCUGACGUCACAACACCACCGUUUUCCAGUUGGCCCGACCAGACCAAAUCAAAUCAAAUCAAAUCAAAUCAUGUGCCGUCUUCCCUCCCGAGGAAUUCUACACUGUCACACUUGCACCACGUCAUCAAUAACAAGCCAAUCACAUUCCUUCUUUUCAAACAAAAGUACAAUAAAAAUACUUUUUUACAAUCAUGAUGGGACAUAUAUUCUUAAAAGGAUUAAUUUGAUUGGUUUGUUACGCCACGUCACUAAUAUACCCGUUGCAUUCUAGAAUUUUUCCUUCCCUCCCCUCCCCUCCUCCCAACCCCCCGUAUCUUUCUUUCUUCCUUCUUCCUUCCACGCCGGGUGCGGAAUUCUAUGCCAUUUCCUCUCUCUCGGAUCUUCCCCGCAAUCACAGGUUAAAAUUUCGGUAGGAAACCUCUCCUCCGUAACCAAUAUUAGAUUUAUCUCUACCUAUAAUUUAAAUUUUAAAUUUGAAAAUAAAAAAUAAAAAUAAUACGCGGCAACAGAUUGAGACUUCUCAACACGGUAUUUAUUUGGUUCGCAUAAAAUAUAAUUCUUUUUUAUUAUUUUUUUUUUUUUUGUAUUUCACGGUAAGGUUUUAAGUAUUCGUCGGCACGGACCGUAUCUACCGUGCCGUAUCGUACCAACAAGAUACCGUCACGUUACAGAUCCCAUGUCGAUAGCACAGCUCAAAACCCUCUAUUUUAAGUUUAAAAAGUAUGAUAAAAGGCAUAAUAAAUAGUUAGAAUAUUUUUUUGGUAAAAGAAAUAAAUAUUUUACGCUAUUAUAUAUCGGCACAUAAGAAUUUUUUUGACCGGCAAGCAUCGGCACGGAUUGGCACGGCACGGCACACACCGUGCCGGCAAGUUUCCGACACGAUCCCGUACCACGGCACUUAAAUCCUUAUUUCACGAAAAAAUUUUUCUUUUCGUUUUUUUAUGUUUUAGAAAAAUAUUUUUUUUUAAAAAAAUAAAACCACAAGAUAUUAAUUUGAUACACUUUAAAUCACAUAUUAGAGUAAUGAUAUUUGAAGUUUAUCUUUUUUUUAACAUAGAACAUGGGGGGAAUUUUUUUUAUAAAUAAACCUAUCAAUUUUUAUAAUUAUAAAAAUAAUUUUGUUAAAAAAAUAAUUAUAAAAAUAGACCUCUAAAUGCGGUGAAUGAUUCACCGCAUUCAUAACUUCUCAUUAGGAGAAAAAAAAGGGUAAAAGCGGUGAACCAUUCACCGCUUUUAUAGAAUUAUAUUUAUAAAUAAAAAUUUAACAGGUCUAUUUUUAGAAUAAAAUUUUAGAAAAAAAAUUAUUGCACUAAAAAAUC